Molecule: ribosomal RNA, 231 nt
Filed under: uncultured bacterium
Lineage: Bacteria
Description: partial 16S ribosomal RNA
Rfam family: Bacterial small subunit ribosomal RNA
Source: RNAcentral
GAUCCUGGCUCAGGAUGAACGCUAGCUACAGGCUUAACACAUGCAAGUCGAGGGGCAGCGGGAUUGAAGCUUGCUUCGAUUGCCGGCGACCGGCGCACGGGUGAGUAACGCGUAUCCAACCUUCCGUACACUCAGGGAUAGCCUUUCGAAAGAAAGAUUAAUACCUGAUGGUAUGAUGAGAUUGCAUGAUAGCACAAUUAAAGAUUUAUCGGUGUACGAUGGGGAUGCGUU